Molecule: ribosomal RNA, 1489 nt
Filed under: Lactiplantibacillus plantarum
Lineage: Bacteria; Bacillati; Bacillota; Bacilli; Lactobacillales; Lactobacillaceae
Description: bacterial SSU rRNA
Rfam family: Bacterial small subunit ribosomal RNA
Source: RNAcentral
GACGAACGCUGGCGGCGUGCCUAAUACAUGCAAGUCGAACGAACUCUGGUAUUGAUUGGUGCUUGCAUCAUGAUUUACAUUUGAGUGAGUGGCGAACUGGUGAGUAACACGUGGGAAACCUGCCCAGAAGCGGGGGAUAACACCUGGAAACAGAUGCUAAUACCGCAUAACAACUUGGACCGCAUGGUCCGAGUUUGAAAGAUGGCUUCGGCUAUCACUUUUGGAUGGUCCCGCGGCGUAUUAGCUAGAUGGUGGGGUAACGGCUCACCAUGGCAAUGAUACGUAGCCGACCUGAGAGGGUAAUCGGCCACAUUGGGACUGAGACACGGCCCAAACUCCUACGGGAGGCAGCAGUAGGGAAUCUUCCACAAUGGACGAAAGUCUGAUGGAGCAACGCCGCGUGAGUGAAGAAGGGUUUCGGCUCGUAAAACUCUGUUGUUAAAGAAGAACAUAUCUGAGAGUAACUGUUCAGGUAUUGACGGUAUUUAACCAGAAAGCCACGGCUAACUACGUGCCAACAGCCGCGGUAAUACGUAGGUGGCAAGCGUUGUCCGGAUUUAUUGGGCGUAAAGCGAGCGCAGGCGGUUUUUUAAGUCCGAAGUGAAAGCCUUCGGCUCAACCGAAGAAGUGCAUCGGAAACUGGGAAACUUGAGUGCAGAAGAGGACAGUGGAACUCCAUGUGUAGCGGUGAAAUGCGUAGAUAUAUGGAAGAACACCAGUGGCGAAGGCGGCUGUCUGGUCUGUAACUGACGCUGAGGCUCGAAAGUAUGGGUAGCAAACAGGAUUAGAUACCCUGGUAGUCCAUACCGUAAACGAUGAAUGCUAAGUGUUGGAGGGUUUCCGCCCUUCAGUGCUGCAGCUAACGCAUUAAGCAUUCCGCCUGGGGAGUACGGCCGCAAGGCUGAAACUCAAAGGAAUUGACGGGGGCCCGCACAAGCGGUGGAGCAUGUGGUUUAAUUCGAAGCUACGCGAAGAACCUUACCAGGUCUUGACAUACUAUGCAAAUCUAAGAGAUUAGACGUUCCCUUCGGGGACAUGGAUACAGGUGGUGCAUGGUUGUCGUCAGCUCGUGUCGUGAGAUGUUGGGUUAAGUCCCGCAACGAGCGCAACCCUUAUUAUCAGUUGCCAGCAUUAAGUUGGGCACUCUGGUGAGACUGCCGGUGACAAACCGGAGGAAGGUGGGGAUGACGUCAAAUCAUCAUGCCCCUUAUGACCUGGGCUACACACGUGCUACAAUGGAUGGUACAACGAGUUGCGAACUCGCGAGAGUAAGCUAAUCUCUUAAAGCCAUUCUCAGUUCGGAUUGUAGGCUGCAACUCGCCUACAUGAAGUCGGAAUCGCUAGUAAUCGCGGAUCAGCAUGCCGCGGUGAAUACGUUCCCGGGCCUUGUACACACCGCCCGUCACACCAUGAGAGUUUGUAACACCCAAAGUCGGUGGGGUAACCUUUUAGGAACCAGCCGCCUAAGGUGGGACAGAUGAUUAGGGUG